AUUGAACGCUGGCGGCAGGCCUAACACAUGCAAGUCGAGCGGAUGAAGGGAGCUUGCUCCUGGAUUCAGCGGCGGACGGGUGAGUAAUGCCUAGGAAUCUGCCUGGUAGUGGGGGAUAACGUCCGGAAACGGGCGCUAAUACCGCAUACGUCCUGAGGGAGAAAGUGGGGGAUCUUCGGACCUCACGCUAUCAGAUGAGCCUAGGUCGGAUUAGCUAGUUGGUGGGGUAAAGGCCUACCAAGGCGACGAUCCGUAACUGGUCUGAGAGGAUGAUCAGUCACACUGGAACUGAGACACGGUCCAGACUCCUACGGGAGGCAGCAGUGGGGAAUAUUGGACAAUGGGCGAAAGCCUGAUCCAGCCAUGCCGCGUGUGUGAAGAAGGUCUUCGGAUUGUAAAGCACUUUAAGUUGGGAGGAAGGGCAGUAAGUUAAUACCUCGCUGUUUUGACGUUACCAACAGAAUAAGCACCGGCCAACUUCGUG
This 484-nucleotide ribosomal RNA is filed under the name uncultured bacterium. RNAcentral describes it as "partial 16S ribosomal RNA". It matches the Rfam family "Bacterial small subunit ribosomal RNA", at positions 30 to 507 of the family's 1533-position model. The record is from RNAcentral.